GGUACUAUAGUGUAGUGGUUAUCACUCGGGAUUUUGAUUACGUCAGCUUUCCCGUAACCCAGGUUCGAACCCUGGUAGUACCU
Molecule: transfer RNA, 83 nt
Filed under: Ephemerocybe angulata
Lineage: Eukaryota; Fungi; Basidiomycota; Agaricomycetes; Agaricales; Psathyrellaceae
Description: Coprinellus angulatus tRNA
Rfam family: tRNA
About the family: Transfer RNA (tRNA) molecules are approximately 80 nucleotides in length. Their secondary structure includes four short double-helical elements and three loops (D, anti-codon, and T loops).
Source: Rfam by way of RNAcentral